AAAGGCUCAGCAGUGAACGCAGCACGUCCAGGAUGCAUAUACAGCAUAUUUGCAGUUAGGAUUUCAGUGUUUACUGCCAACUAUCGCGAUUCCAUAUGUAAUUAAAGGUACUUGAGUAACUCAACACCCCUGGUUGUUUUGGUGAACGUUGUCCACCUGUUUCCAACUAUCUUAAAUCUUAUAUUCCAUGAUUCAGCCACUGUUGGCAUCUCUGAGCUAAACGUGCUGGUCCAGCCGGAGAACGACGAGAAGCUAAGACCUGGGCAAAGCUGAUGCAUCCCAGCUACCGAAACACGAGGAGGUUGUUUCUCAAACUGACGCCACUGCAGGCUAUGGACACGCGGCUACCUUGUAGAAGAGUUGUUGCUUACCUCAGGAGCAAUGGUGUGUACAUUUAACAGCAGUAUGUGAUGGAGACCAUCUUCAAUGAAGUCCUGCUGGACUUAGGUCAUUAUAUGGAGGACCUUGUAAACAUCCCUGUCCCACCGCCCUCUGAGCAGAAUUUGAGCAACCUGACAGUAAGGAGAGUGGUGUCAAGGAAAACUGCUGCAUCCUCCAUCUGCACUGCUUCCGAUGUCUUCCAAAACAUGAAGACAAAAAAGAUCCUCACAUCUCCCCAGCCAACUGUCCAUGACUGUACCUGUUCCACUCCAGAAACUAUGCUUUCAACAUAACUAUGAAUCCUACCCAUUCAUUUUGUGGUCUGCACAUUGAGCUGUGAAGGUAACAUAUCCAGCAUUAUAGUGCUGGUGCACAGUAAAGUUGGCUUUGACUAGUGCUGUUUCACUGAACUAUUUUUUAUGAGGGAAAACAGACAAAUGUUUUAUAAUAUUUUAACUUUUAUUGAGGUAUUGCCAUAAAAAAAAAAAUAAUUAAGGUAAUAAAUUAUAAUUAAUUUAAAUAAUUUAGGUAUUUCACAGGUGGUCUAAGUCCAACAUAGGUGCCUUGUCCCUCAGGAAACACUGUCCUAAUCCAGACCAGGGAAGAUGGGAUGACAACUUGGACUCUUCACGCUAGAAGUCCCCAGCACCAGCUGACAAGACUUCUCUAGACUAGAUACCUGCAACGACUUGAGAUACACACAGACAUAGUACUGUCAAAUUUAUGAAGAAAAAAACAAUAACUAAAUUUCUAUUAGUUAUAUAUUAGCACUUGAUAUACUGUAUCAUACACUUUACUAAAAGCAAUUAAAAUAUAAAAUAUAUUAGGUGAAUAUGUAUUAAGAACCAAAACUAUGUUUGUAAACCAGAAUUCCCAGGUAUGUUAUGAUUAAUCUGUAAAUAGUAAAAUAUUCUAAAAUUGUUUCACUUCUGAGAUACUGAUUGUCUGAUAUACUGUAUAUUAAAUUUGUUCUGUAAUGAAUACACAUUCAA
Molecule: long non-coding RNA, 1373 nt
Organism: Betta splendens (Siamese fighting fish)
Lineage: Eukaryota; Metazoa; Chordata; Actinopteri; Anabantiformes; Osphronemidae
Exons: 3
Source: RefSeq, a predicted model, not a curated record